This 119-nucleotide ribosomal RNA is filed under the name Pteropus alecto (black flying fox). Lineage: Eukaryota; Metazoa; Chordata; Mammalia; Chiroptera; Pteropodidae. The record is from RNAcentral.
GUCUGUGGCCAUGCCACCCUGAACGCGCCUGAUCUCAUCUAAUCUCAGAAGCGAAGCAGAGUCAGGCCUGGUUAGUACUCGGAUGGGUGGCCACCUAGGAAUACUGAGUGCUGUAGAUU